RNAcentral lists this long non-coding RNA (789 nucleotides) under Amborella trichopoda. RNAcentral's name for it is "long non-coding RNA (ATRI_LNC002177)". Lineage: Eukaryota; Viridiplantae; Streptophyta; Magnoliopsida; Amborellales; Amborellaceae. The record is from RNAcentral.
AGGAUGCAUAUGUGUACGCAUAUCGACGUAUAUAUAACUGAUAGCAAGUGUAAACACACGUAUAAACAUCAUUGUACAUAAAUCAGUGUACAUAUACACAUUAAUAGCUGUAUAAACAUCAUUAGUGUAUCUAUAUAUGGUCAUAUAUGUUAAUGUAUAUAUAAAUGUAUAUAUUAGUGCAUUAUAGAGAUACAGUUAUGCACUUUGCACACACACACAUGAAUGUAUUUUUUAAACACUAAUAACUGUAUAUAUAGCGGAUAAAAAGUGUCUAUAUGGUCGUAUUUAUCAAUCAGUUUAUAUAUAAAUGUAUGUAUGCACUACCAAUGCGUAAGGGUGCAUGUGUGUGCAUAUCAGUGUAUAUGUAACUGAUAGUAAGUUUAUACAUACACACAUAAACAUAUCAGUAUAUAUGUAUCUUAUAUAUACAUGCUGUAUAUAUCUAUAUAAACUGUUAAUAAAUGUCUCUAUGGUCAUAUAUAUUAAUAUAGAUAGAAUGCAUGUAUCAGUGUACACAUACAAGACAUUAGUUAUCUGCUAUAUAUAAAGGGUUAUUAGUGUGUAAAAAAUACAUUGAUGUAUGCGUGAUGUCUGUUUAUAUACGAUGUGUAUAUACUGAUAUGUAUGUAUAAAGUGCAUAAUUGUUUAUAUACAGUGCACUAAUAUAUACAUUUUUAUGGACAUUAUGUAUAUGGCUAUAUAUACACUUACUAUCAUUUUAUACAGUUACUAACGUAUAUGUACACUGAUUUAUAUACUAUACACACACUCAGACUCAAACUCACAUUC